GUUAGGAAAUUACCUAGCAAUUAUAGUUGCUUACUUCUUCGGCUUCAAUAGCAGUCGUUGUCCCCUUCACCUUUCCAUCAUGAACCGGAUACACUGCAUUUGGGUCGGAUUUAUCCUUUUAAGGGGGUGUUAUAGUAUUGAUCAUAAACAUAAAUUUUAUCAUCCUGUUUAUAAAGAUUUACACACCUAUGCGCGUUAAAUUAGGCUAAGCACAGCUGAUUUGGCUUCUGGAUGACCUUUAUUAUUUUAUCAGUUUAAAGUGUAGAUAUAGAGAAUUAUAGACAACAAGGUGGAAUCCAGCAAUUGCUAGUUGCUGAACAAGAAGCUCGACAGAUAGUCAGUGCUGCAAGAACCGCAAAACUGAACAGAAUGAAGCAAGCAAAAGAUGAAGCCGAAGAAGAAGUAGCUAAAUAUCGAGCCCAUAUGGAAAAAGAAUACCAGAAGACAGUCUCAGAGUCAACUGGAUUUUCUGGAGUGAAUGUAAAACGGCUUGAUGAAGAGAUGGUUAAAAAGAUUGAUCACUUGAAGAAACAAGCUGCAAAAGUUUCGCCAGAGGUAGUCAAGUUGCUUAUGACUCAAGUCACCACUGUCUAGGUUUAAUUAAUUCAUCAUUGCCCAUAAAUUCCUUGAAAAGGGAUUGUUAUUUUUGAGUUUUGAUUAGUUACUUCAAAUUAUUCUUGGGUUAAAUAAAUUUGCUGGCAUUUUCUGCCAUC
This is a long non-coding RNA of Helianthus annuus (common sunflower), 713 nucleotides long. RefSeq lists it as uncharacterized. The record is from RefSeq and is a predicted model, not a curated record. The transcript is spliced from 3 exons. NCBI's taxonomy places the organism in Eukaryota, Viridiplantae, Streptophyta, Magnoliopsida, Asterales, Asteraceae.